UCCCCCUACGGGACGCAGCAGUGGGGAAUAUUGGGCAAUGGGCGCAAGCCUGACCCAGCAACGCCGCGUGAAGGAAGAAGGCUUUCGGGUUGUAGACUUCUUUUGUCAGGGACGAAGCAAGUGACGGUACCUGACGAAUAAGUCACGGCUAACUACGUGCCAGCAGCCGCGGUAAUACGUAGGUGGCAAGCGUUAUCCGGAUUUAUUGGGUGUAAAGGGCGCGUAGGCGGGAAUGCAAGUCAGAUGUGAAAACUAUGGGCUCAACCCAUAGCCUGCAUUUGAAACUGUAUUUCUUGAGUGCUGGG
This 305-nucleotide ribosomal RNA is filed under the name uncultured bacterium. Its description in RNAcentral is "bacterial SSU rRNA". It matches the Rfam family "Bacterial small subunit ribosomal RNA", at positions 334 to 653 of the family's 1533-position model. The record is from RNAcentral.